UGCUUGGAUAAAAUAAUUUACCCUUAUAGUACCACAAAUACAGAAUGUUGUAUCUUAUUUAAUUUUUUUUAGAAAACGAAUACACAUCAAAAUCACUUGUGUUUAGGCACAUAUUGAUAAACUGUCUCAGUGUGGGAUUACUGAUCUAGAAUCAGAUCUGCCUGCCAAUGUACUUCUAUUUGUUACGAUCUAAAAAAGAAAAAGUCAAAACGUUUCGUUGAUCAGCACUCCUACGGUGCCUGAUUACGAGCCUGGAAGUGCGGAUAAAAAAAAACAACAAGCCCACUGAUAUCCUCAAUAUACCCAGGCUUAAACAGAAUAUAUCUAAACCAUCCAGUGACAUAUGCUGUAAUAUGCUGCCACAAGCACCACAUUACCUCACUCAUUAUAACAAUUAAACUAUGAAAGUCUUUCGCAAGACAGUAGCUGAUAUGUUUUGAGUGUAUAAAAGGGGAUGAUGACAAAUGUCUGUGCUUUGUAGGUGGUUGUAACUAAUUUCAACCCAAUAUUUGCAGUUAUUGAAGUAUUUUCCCAGCACAAUCAAAAUUAGGAUUCUUGAGAACCAUUCCUGUGCUCAACCAUUCAGCCUGUACUAUGGUUUUACAGUGCUGCCAAAGUAUCCUUCAAGGCUUCCUCACAAACCUAUUGCAGUUAAAGAACAUUUUAAUUAAAAACAAGAAAUAUUUCCAUGAACAGCAUGUGACGUGAAAUAAAACAGUUAAAGGGGAAUAACAGCAAAUAUUAGCUUUCACUCAGGGCAUGUACGGCCAAGCUAGAAAAGCUUACGGGGAAGGGGAUUACCACCCAAGAUUUCAGUCUUUCGGGAAGAGCAACUGAUUAAGAUGCCCUUCCACCUCAUUCACCUCAUGAACGCAGGUUCAUAACCACAAUCUUUUCUGACACCUCUGCAAAGACAUAUAAAUGGCAAUAUAAAUUUGCAUAGCAGCCAUUGGGUAUUUCAUAUUCAUUUUGUUUUAUGAUUUGAUAACAUCCUGUUCUGUUAAAGGAGUCUGGCUACCCUGAAGCAGAGUUUGGUAAAUAUGAAUGUGUUUUUGGCGGCGGUUUCACAAUGUAAACUUAAACCUGCUAGGGGGUGUUGCAAUUCCACUCCACAGUACAGCGGAGUUUAAACGUGCCUUGCAGGGGAGGGGGAGCUGGAGCAAGAGCAACGCAUUUGUCAGCCCAGCAAUGACUUUGAGAAUCAUCAAACUUGACACAUUUUUAAUAAUCGCCAUUAUUCCCCUUUACCUUAUAUACCGUUUUUAAAUUGGGCUUCCCUAAUAUAUCCUUCUCUGCUCUGGUGUAGGGAGGUGACAUGAUGUCCUUUUUGAAUGAGUCACUGCAUUAGAUUGUUCAAAGAACUCGUUGAAUGUUAUCGAUUGACACAGCUUUGUAAAACCAAAACAUAACCAAAACACAGCCUGCCUGUACUCAACACUAGAAGUAAGAAUUGUUUGGGUGAAUGCUGUAGUUCAAGACCUUGGGAAUAAAAACUGCACCUGGAAGCAGCAUUCCAGUAUCUUAGGCAUGCCAACUGAGUAACUGUUACAAACUGGAUUCAUUGUAGAAGACAAACAUUAAAAAAAACAGUAGGGUCACCAGCACACCUACUUAUUGGCGGCAUCGUUUGCUGUGGCAGAGCUUCACUAAAAUAACCGCCACAAGGCGAAACACUAAACCUGCAAGCAUACUACAAUGUGUAUUUUGCUGCUAAGUAAAGAAUCAGGGAACCACUAAGUGCAGAGAAGGGAAUGCAAAAGAAAAACAUAGCGUAGGCUUCUAUAAUAUAAAUUAAAUUGCUUACUUACUAGCUACUUAGUGCAGAAUUCGGAUCUCCCCUAUAACAAAGUCACCGUAAUUAACUGGUUAUUAUGAAGUAAUGAUAAAUCCCUUGAUAACCAAGUGCAAGGAAAGAGAAAAGGACAGAGUGUCUGACAUUUUGUUUAAUGUAGGCUAAAACAAAACUUACUACAAAAAUUACUACAGUAAUAGCAUAUAACCACAACAUUUAGCAGGUAGACCAACUGUGCUUCAUAGGCCUACAGUGGCUUUAAACAUGAAUAGUUUUGUGACCUGAGUGGACAUGAUCGUAUUUUUAUUUUUUCACUGGUAUUAUCAUUUUCAAAAGCCCUUCCAGUUUAAAUAGGAAUACUGAAAUGCCCGACAAUAUCUUGAAAUCUUCCAGGAAACCCAGAUCUUUCCUUGUCCAAACUCAAGACGGAAAACCCUGUGCCAAAUAAUGUCUCUAUGGGCAGAAAACCAGUUUAACUGCUGCCCCUGAAGCAGUUUAAAACAGAAAAAAAAACACCUUUAGGCUAAAAUUUCUGCUAAAUGACAUGCAUUUUUUUAUCAGUUGCCUACACUGCAUCUGUAAAACAUGCAGUUUUGGUGAUCAAGUUGGUGAUACAAUCACAUUUUCGGUCUCCCCUUUAUUCUUAAAGUGGUAAUUUACACUUUUUUGGAUUCUUGAAAAUCGGGACCAAAAUAAAUUCUACCUAAAAUUAUAAUAUAAAAAAUAUAUAAACACAUUAUAUAUACACACAUCCUUUAGUGCUUUUGAUUCCUUCAUAAAAUGCAAUUAACUGGAGUAACGUCACCUCCGUCAGCCACUCUAAAAGUCGCUCUAUUUUACAUUUAUUGUCCAAAAAUUAUUUAAAGGCCCUCAUUAAAUUCAAUAAUCUGAAAAGAAAUAUCCAAAUGUAUUGUUUGUUGUACAGCAGUACAUAACAUGUUUUUUUUUUUGUGUGUGCAUUUUGACAUGUUUUUCUAGAUGCAGAAGAACAAAAAAUAAAACAUUAAUUUAUUAGGCAAAUACUAUCCCUUAGGUCUUGCACAGCAAAUUCGUCAAUAGUUUGAGCAUGUUGCAAAAAACGGAUAAAUAUUUGUUCAUAAGAGAAAAUAUGCAAAUUAUUUUGGAUUUUAGACAAAUCUGUU
Molecule: long non-coding RNA, 2934 nt
Organism: Esox lucius (northern pike)
Lineage: Eukaryota; Metazoa; Chordata; Actinopteri; Esociformes; Esocidae
Source: Ensembl